RNAcentral lists this transfer RNA (75 nucleotides) under Rhizoctonia sp. AG-Fa. RNAcentral describes it as "tRNA-Cys". It matches the Rfam family "tRNA". From Rfam's summary of the family: Transfer RNA (tRNA) molecules are approximately 80 nucleotides in length. The record is from RNAcentral. RNAcentral also lists the same sequence under 1 other name. Lineage: Eukaryota; Fungi; Basidiomycota; Agaricomycetes; Cantharellales; Ceratobasidiaceae.
GAGUUAAGUUUACAUAUGGUUAUGUAGUCAGACUGCAAAUUUGAUAAAGGUAGGGUUCAAUUCCCUCUUGACUCU